This is a non-coding RNA of Microcebus murinus (gray mouse lemur), 678 nucleotides long. NCBI's taxonomy places the organism in Eukaryota, Metazoa, Chordata, Mammalia, Primates, Cheirogaleidae. The record is from RefSeq and is a predicted model, not a curated record.
CCCGCCGGCCGCAGACUGUGUCCCCCCACCGCCAGAGCCCGGGCGGCCCGGAGGGCCCUGGCAUCUGACCGGAGGAAAUGCACACGCUGGGGCCGCUGCGCACGUAGGGAACGCCGCGCAGGCCCCACGCGGGACGCCCGAGUCCACUCCCGACACGGGACAUGCCUGCGGAAUGCCGGAAGGCUCAGCUCUCAAAAACAGACUCAAUCACAGAUAAAGAGGGCCUUGAGUAUGACAGACACAAGCUGAAAUGAAUCUUCUCUAGCAUAUAGAAUAUCCAGACCACCUGUUGUUUGCUUCAGAGUGAGACAUUAUCUUUUGUAUUAGACAGUAACAAGCCUGCCCUUUGUCCCAGAAGAAGACAGUGUUUCUAUAUCCAAGGCUGUCCGUUAUACAAGCACGUAUACAUGGAUGUCUGGAACAAAGAGACAGUCAAGACCUCGCUCACCAGAUGGGCAGAAAUGGAAGUGAUCCACAGAGAAUUCUCCUCUGACAACGUCACAGCUUUACCUUGAUACCAAAACCUGACAAAGAUAUUAAAAGAAAGGAAAGUUCAUUGGCCAAAGAUUUUCAUCAAUACAGAUGCAAAAUUCUAAACAGUAUUAAGAAACUGAGUCUGGCAAUAUAUUAAAAUAUUAAGAAAUAAAUUAAUGAUUUAUUCUAGGGAAUAAAGUUUAA